UCAAGCUACAAAGGGCGCAUGGUGAAUGCCUUGGCAUCAGGAGCCGAUGAAGGACGUGAUAAGCUGCGAUAAGCUUCGGGUAGGCGCACAUAGCCUGAGAUCCGAAGAUCUCCGAAUGAGGAAACUCACAUGGGAAACCCCAUGUAUCAUUAAGUGAAUACAUAGCUUAAUGAAGGUAACCCAGGGAACUGAAACAUCUAAGUACCUGGAGGAAGAGAAAGAAAAAUCGAUUUUCUUAGUAGCGGCGAGCGAAAGGGAAAGAGCCCAAACCGGAAACUUGUUUCCGGGGUUGUGGACAUAACAUAAAAGUGGAGGCUAUUGUAACUGAAGAGAACUGGAAAGUUCCACCGUAGAAGGUAAUAGUCCUGUAAGUGAAACGAGAAGACCACGAGUUAUGAUCCAGAGUACCACGAGACACGUGAAACCUUGUGGGAAGCAGGGAGGACCACCUCCCAAGGCUAAAUACUACCUGAUGACCGAUAGUGAAGCAGUACCGUGAGGGAAAGGUGAAAAGAACCCCGGGAGGGGAGUGAAAUAGAACCUGAAACCGUGUGCCUACAACCGCUCAGAGCCCCUUAUGAGGGUGAUGAGGUGCUUUUUGUAGAACGAGCCAACGAGUUACGGUAUGUAGCAAGGUUAAGUACUUAAGGUACGGAGCCGAAGGGAAACCGAGUCUGAAUAGGGCGACUAGUUGCAUGCCGUAGACCCGAAACCGGGUGACCUAUCCAUGGCCAGGUUGAAGCGAGGGUAAAACCUCGUGGAGGACCGAACCACGUUGCUGUUGAAAAAGCAUGGGAUGAGCUGUGGAUAGCGGAGAAAUUCCAAUCGAACUCGGAGAUAGCUGGUUCUCCCCGAAAUAGCUUUAGGGCUAGCGUCGGAUAUGUGUAGUGGAGGUAGAGCACUGAAUGGGCUAGGGGGCAUAGCGCUUACCGAACCUUAUCAAACUCCGAAUGCCACAUACUUUGAGCUCGGCAGUCAGACUACGAAUGAUAAGAUCCGUGGUCAAAAGGGAAACAGCCCAGAUCGUCAGCUAAGGUCCCAAAGUGUAAGUUAAGUGGGAAAGGAUGUGAGAUUUCUAAGACAACUAGGAUGUUGGCUUAGAAGCAGCCAUUCAUUAAAAGAGUGCGUAAUAGCUCACUAGUCGAGAGAUCUUGCGCCGAAAAUGUAACGGGGCUAAACUUACCACCGAAGCUACGGGCUUGAACUUAGUUCAAGCGGUAGGAGAGCGUCGUAACCGGGCUGAAGUCGUACCGUAAGGAGCGGUGGACUGGUUACGAGUGAGAAUGUUGGCAUCAGUAGCGAGAUGUGGGUGAGAAUCCCACAGGCCGAAAACCUAAGGUUUCCUCAGGAAGGUUCGUCCGCUGAGGGUUAGUCGGGACCUAAGCCGAGGCCGAAAGGCGUAGGUGAUGGACAACUGGUUGAUAUUCCAGUACCACUACCAUCGUUAUUAUCGAUGGCGUGACGCAGGAGGAUAGUGUGUGCUAGCUAUUGGAUGCUAGUCUAAGCGUUUAGGCAGUGAGAGUAGGCAAAUCCGCUCUCAUAAUGCUGAGGCGUGAUGGGGAAGGUUCUACGGAACCGAAGUACAUGAUUCCACGCUGCCAAGAAAAGCGUCUAGAGAGAGAAGUAGUGCCCGUACCGCAAACCGACACAGGUAGGUGAGGAGAGAAUCCUAAGGCCGGCGGAAGAAUUACAGUUAAGGAACUCGGCAAAUUGACCCCGUAAGUUCGCGAGAAGGGGUGCCUACGAGAGUAGGCCGCAGAGAAUAGGCCCAAGCAACUGUUUAGCAAAAACACAGGUCUCUGCUAAAGCGUAAGCUGAUGUAUAGGGGCUGACGCCUGCCCGGUGCUGGAAGGUUAAGGGGAACACUUAGCGCAAGCGAAGGUGUGAACUUAAGCCCCAGUAAACGGCGGCCGUAACUAUAACGGUCCUAAGGUAGCGAAAUUCCUUGUCAGGUAAG
This 1957-nucleotide ribosomal RNA is filed under the name human gut metagenome. RNAcentral's name for it is "bacterial LSU rRNA". It matches the Rfam family "Bacterial large subunit ribosomal RNA", at positions 3 to 1980 of the family's 2925-position model. The record is from RNAcentral.